Long non-coding RNA from Betta splendens (Siamese fighting fish), 981 nucleotides. RefSeq lists it as uncharacterized. NCBI's taxonomy places the organism in Eukaryota, Metazoa, Chordata, Actinopteri, Anabantiformes, Osphronemidae. The transcript is spliced from 2 exons. The record is from RefSeq and is a predicted model, not a curated record.
AUGGGUAAGUGUGACAGAGGGGUGAGGAUGGUUCUGGCUGCGCUGCGUGUGGUGCCUGGGUAGUAGUAGUGGCUGGGGGUUGUGGGGGGCGGUGGGAAGGGAUUUAGCAGAGCUAGUCUGGAACCUGGCUCUGCGGACCCCGGUGCCUUGUGUAACCCAGGUUACCAGGGUUGAAUAGCGGUCCAGCUUAUCAAUUGAUUAGUGAAGGGAAUAAAUGGAUCAAUAUGGUUAAUUGGAAAAAAAAAAGAAAAGAACCCUGUAGAGAAAAAAAGUAAUAAAUUGUAUUUGUGAAUAAUUCAACAUGUAUGCACAAACAUGUAGGUGUAUGUAAACAAACGUACAAAAGUUAUCACGUCUUUAAAAAAAAAAGAAAAAAAACGUUUUGGCCACUUUGAAUAAGUUUUCAGCAAGCCCACUUGAAACGGGAAUACGAGGGGUUCAUGAGAUGCGGUGUGAGCGAUCGGACGUUGUCACGUGAUACGGGUCAUUCUGCCAAGCCAAAGUCAAGGUGGCUACACACUAACUUUUGCUGCAGACUGUUAGUUCUACGUGUAAGAGAGACAAUUAAUUUGAUUUAUUGUGGUCAUAAUCGGUGUGGGACAUAGUCUCUUCGGCUGUGAAGUCGCUGGCGGACAGAGCGUCGUGCCAAAGAUACAACGGACGACACCUGGAUUGCUGAGGGCCUUGUGAUGUGCAGUUGUGCCGAAGCGUGUGUGUGUGUUGUGUGAUGCUUGAACCUCUGGCCGGGUCUUUUUCUUUCCCUUGUUUGGAUCUCCUUACUCUGAGGAUAAAGUAAAGAUCUCGUCUGCUGGGAUUCCUCUUGGUCCUGAAGAUAAAGAGGAACUCCAGUGGUCGUGGCGAGCCAUCCAAAACCACCAAUUGUGACUUGGAGUAGGAUGUUCUGUGUUACUGGUAGAAAAAUGUCUCAUACUGCCGUUAAUGUGUCAUUGAUGUGAUUUUAAUACAGUGCAUAAAAAAUUA